RNAcentral lists this long non-coding RNA (4301 nucleotides) under Homo sapiens (human). RNAcentral describes it as "HSALNT0351437". The record is from RNAcentral. Lineage: Eukaryota; Metazoa; Chordata; Mammalia; Primates; Hominidae.
CUGUUGGAAUCCUUUUUCUUUUUAUACUCCCUUGCAGGUAUUAUUAGAUGCUUUUUUUGCUUGAUGUCACUUUUCAGUCCCUCCACAUUGUACUUUGAAAAAGCAGUCCUCUAAAGAGAUAUAAUGAAUGAUAUUGGAAGGAUAUGCCCUUGGAAGCUGCUCUUGGUUUUCUCUUCAGAAGCACUCAUGUGCAGUUAGUCCUUUAAAAAAAAAUUACAGGUCAGUGGAGGUCUUCAGCCAGAUGAAUCCAAGGAAUAACCAAGGGUGCAAGAUAAAUUCCCAGUCAAGUAAUCUUUACAUUUUAGCAACUCCAAGAGAGUUUCUUGUUUCCAUACUAGAGAUGGGAAUGUUUGCCAAACAAUGUACUAUUAAAAUUAUGUAAAUUCAUUAUUUUUGGCAGUUGAAAUGUUAGCCAGGUCAAACUUUCAUUAACCAGUGUGUAGUGUCUCUGUAACUACCUUGAUUUUGUAUUAAAAUAGCUAUCAGGUUCAUGCCAUGUUUUUCUUAUAGCACAGUGAAUUUCCAUUCUUUUCUUUUUAUUCUGUGUCCAUACCUGUAAUUUCUCCAAGUGAUUAAGACCAUAAGUUGUUCCUUCUACAGCUGACAUUUCUUUCUACAGUUAUUCAUCUCCUUAGUUCUUUUAACAGCCAUGUUUUAUUAAUGGUCAUUUACCAUGCAGUAAUAAACUCCAUGUCAUUUAGUCCUUCCGGAGUUUUCUGGUCUUUGAUUACAGUGUAACAUAUUGCCUGAUUAAUUGGUCAUCAUUGCUGUUUUCAGCUUCUGCAUGCACUAGUUAAGGUUAUUUUUUCCCUUUUUGGCUUUAAUAUCCUCUGAAGAUUUUCAACAACGUUGUCAGUUGUCCCUAACUUCUCACUUCCUUUUUGCAUUCCCUGAUAGCAAAGAAUGUAUAAUGAAUCCUUGUAAAUGGCUACUGUCUACUCUUAUUUCAGCCUAGACAGUGUUUCUCAAAUUUUAGUGUGCCUCGGGAGCACGUAGAGGGCUUAAAACAUAGAUUUCUGGAGCUCCCUCUUGGAGCUUUUGAUUCAGUGGGUCUGGGGUGUGGCCAGAUAAUUUAUAUUUCUUACAAGUCCCCAGUGAUGUUGAUGCUGACUACCCAGGACAAAGCCCUGAGAACCAGUAGCAUAGCAGAUGAACAUGGUGGUUAAGAGCCUGGAUUCUGGGUUCCGCUGAUAGGGGUUCAGACCACUGCUCUCCCACUUAACUUUCCCAACCAUGUGAACUUGGAAAAGUUACUUAAUCUCUGCCAGCUGCAGUUUCCACACUUGGAAAAGGGGAAGACCAACCUUCCAGACUUUUAAGGAAUGAAUUCGAUACUCCAUGUAAAGCACUUAGUUCAGUGGCAAGAAGCAAAUGCUCAAUAACUGUUAACUACAGGUAUUUUUUUUUAUAAGAUGUGAGUAAUUAAUGUUCAAGCUCAAUUACCAAAAGUAAUAAAAUGUGCCUCCUUCAGCAAAUUGGUCACUUUCUCUGAAACUUGAUUAACUAUAUUGCUGAGGUAAAAAUGCAUUAAAAAAAAAAGAUUGGCCAUGUGGAUGCAGUGGAAAAAUUAUGAAAUUUGAAACCAGGAAAAUGCCUGGGUUUUAGUCUAGACCCUGCUAUUGCUAGCUUUGUGACUCAUAGCAAUUUUCUUCAUCUCUCUGAUCCAAGUUUCCUGUAAAUAUCCUCUGGAGUGGUGAUAUAAAUGGUAAGAACUGUUAUAUGGAUCAAAUGAGCCAAACCAUUUGAAGGAAUUUUGUUUUAUUUCCUACUUUAAUGUUCUGUACAAGUGUAGUUAUUGUUAUUUUUAUUGAGAAUAAGGAUCUAGAGUAAUUUUUUGUACUUAUUUACUAAAAAUUAUAAAAAGUUAUGCUUCUUAUGGAAUGGCAAUUAUGAAAAAGACUUUUCCACUAUAAUUAUUUUGAGAUGGUAGUGACUGUAAUUGGGAAUUGUUAGACACUUGCUUAGAUAUUGGGAUGUGCUAUUAUCUAUUAGUAAUCUAGCCAGAUCUCUUUCUUUUUGACUACAGUACUGGUUCAUCUUUAAACCAAAAGCACACUUAAGAAAGCUUUGUUCUUAUGCUGUGAGUUUAAUUUUGACAAUAAAUUUUAGACAAAAAUAACAGCCUUAUUUUCAGUUGAUACUAUAGGAUUCUUUCAGAAGACAAAAAGAAGCACCAUUUGAUCACAUUUUAAAAAUGUAGCAUGAAGCACUGUGCUGGGCACUCCGGGAGAUGUCAAAAUGAAGCACACGUGCUUUGUGCUUUAGAUGCAUUUUUCUUCAGCAGAAAUCAGAACAACGUACAAAUUCACCACGUAUGUCACAAAGAAGGACGAGUCAGAGGGCGAAAAUGGGUAUAAUAACACAUCUGCCUCUUCAAAUUGUGGUGAAGAUGAAAACAGUGCAUGUUUUAGGCUGAACUACCUGAAAUUACCAGGGUUUUAUAGAGAAUGAUUGGCCUGGAGCAAGCAUAGAAGCAGAGAGGUGCAUAAGGAGGCUAUUGCAACAGCUCAGCUGAGAAAUAGUGUAGGCAGAGCCCAGGGCAGCAGCAGUGUGCCUGAAGAGGAGUGGAUGAAAAUGAACUAUUUCCAAGUCCUCCUGGGACUCCAGUAAGACAAGUCUUGCCUUUCAUGUGGACUCAUACAAUGGUGCUCACAUUGGCGGAGUAAGAAGCACUGCACAGAAAUAGCUCAUUGGCAGAAUUGCGCUCUCAAGGAUGGAUAUCUUCAAGCCAUCCUUGACCCUCUAGAGCAGAAAGACAAACAAGUGUAAUGCUGAGGAAUGGGAAAAAUGUUUAAUUGCAAGCAGAAGAAUCUCACGUGAAAUUUUUACAAAUGAGGAAACGGAAGCACAAAAAGGCUGUGCUAAGGUCAAGCAGAUCAUACUGCCUAACAGGAUUUUGGCACCAUUGGUAGUCACUUUGACAUGUCAAUAAUGAUAAUUGCAAAGAAGACUGUUGUUCCAAGUAAUGGAUAACACAGCAUCUGAACCUACCUGGAUACUUUUUCAAUAUCUAAAGAAUUAUGUUGUAUAAAAAGAUGCUCGAAGCCCAGAAAAAAUAAAAGAUGAGCACUUCUGGAAAUUACUAUCUUAAACUUGUUCUGCAGAAUUACUCCAUUUUUGUCCUCUGUUAACAUUUUAAGAAGAUUCCAGUUCUUUUUGGACCUUUUUAGUUGUAAUGGAGCCCAGCCCAUGCCUUUGAGGCAGGGAGCAGGGAAAUGGUGAAAGUCAAGUGACUCUUAGCUUGCGCUGUUGUCAUCCUCUCUGGACUAUUGCUACAUUUCUAGACUACUCUCAUUCUCAGCCCACGUAGGAAAUCAGAAGAUAAUUUAAAAUUAAAUAAUGAUGGCUCAGAGCUUAAAGCACUUAAAAAAGAGAAGAAAGAAAAGCAUCACAUCUUGACAGUGCUGGGAGUGAUGGUGGAAAGCUUGCCAAGGAGGCCCGGAAGAGUGGUUGGAAAGACCAUUAUUCAUAACAAAAACCAACUCAAAAUGGAUUAACGACUUAAACAUAAGGCUGGAAAUGGUAAAACUCCUUGAAGAAAACAUAGGAAAACGUGUCUUGACAUUGGUCUGGGCAACAAAUUUUUUUGGAUAUGACGACAAAAGCACAGUUUACCAUGGAAUAAAGUUGGUGUUCAGUGAAUAGAUGCUGAAAAAAGUAAAAUUUGCCUCUAGAGAUGUCAUCACUACUUCCUGUGAGAUACAAAGUUUUGUUACUAAAGAGAACAAUAACAAAAAUAAACAACAGUAACAAAGUGGAUUUGAAAAGAAACUUUCCUCUCAAGAAAAAAAGGAAAAAAGACAGGCUUAGUGUAAAAAUGGAAAGACCCUUGACUAAAACUGACAUUUAAAGACCAGAUUGGAGGGAUAAGAAAGCAAAAGAGGAAAAUCAGAUACUCAAGCUUUCUGAACUCAGAAAGGAAAAAAGCAGAGGAGACAGAUCAAAGAAUCAAAACUCCAUUAAGGGCAACAACUGGAAAGUAAAGGGAUGAGGGUGUCCCUGCAAGAUACAGAAGCAUUUUGAUUUAGCUGUAGAAACAGAGGAAGGUCACACAAAAACAGAGGGGAGGCUACAUGAAAACUACCCUCUGUUACUCAGGAGAGAAGCUAGGAUUGACAUUCAGUUUUUUUCUCACUCUCCAUUCAGAGAACUGCUCUCUAGAUUAUUCACCUCUUGAUAUUUACCCAUAAACUUGAUAACCAGAUUAGAAUAAUGCCUGCUCAUGAAGGAUUCGUGCUAUGACAACUCAGCCACCUUGCGUUUUCUAGCUACUGUCAUGUACCUUUAUACCCCUUAAACCU